GACAGAGGGUGCAAACGUUGUUCGGAAUUACUGGGCGUAAAGCGCGUGUAGGCUGCUCGGAAAGUCGGAUGUGAAAGCCCUGGGCUCAACCUAGGAAGUGCAUUCGAAACUUCCGAGCUGGAGUGCUGGAGAGGAAGGCGGAAUUCUCGGUGUAGAGGUGAAAUUCGUAGAUAUCGAGAGGAACACCGGUGGCGAAGGCGGCCUUCUGGACGGCGACUGACGCUGAGACGCGAAAGCGUGGGGAGCAAACAGG
RNAcentral lists this ribosomal RNA (253 nucleotides) under uncultured bacterium. RNAcentral describes it as "partial 16S ribosomal RNA". It matches the Rfam family "Bacterial small subunit ribosomal RNA", at positions 524 to 776 of the family's 1533-position model. The record is from RNAcentral.